CAGGCCUAACACAUGCAAGUCGAGCGCCCCGCAAGGGGAGCGGCAGACGGGUGAGUAACACGUGGGAAUCUAUCCUUUGCUACGGAACAACUCUGGGAAACUGGAGCUAAUACCGUAUGUGCCCGAAAGGGGAACGAUUUAUCGGCAAGGGGUGAGCCCGCGUCGGAUUAGCUAGUUGAUGGGGUAAAGGCCUACCAAGGCGACGAUCCGUAGCUGGUCUGAGAGGAUGAUCAGCCACACUGGGACUGAGACACGGCCCAGACUCCUACGGGAGGCAGCAGUGGGGAAUAUUGGACAAUGGGGGCAACCCUGAUCCAGCCAUGCCGCGUGAGUGAUGAAGGCCCUAGGGUUGUAAAGCUCUUUCACCGGUGAAGAUAAUGACGGUAACGGGAGAAGAAGCCCCGGCUAACUUCGUGCCAGCAGCCGCGGUAAU
RNAcentral lists this ribosomal RNA (433 nucleotides) under uncultured bacterium. RNAcentral describes it as "bacterial SSU rRNA". It matches the Rfam family "Bacterial small subunit ribosomal RNA", at positions 43 to 524 of the family's 1533-position model. The record is from RNAcentral.